ACAAGCUUUCAGGAGAACCUCCCUUUCUCAAGUCUGAAGCAUUUCUGAGCAAAACGAAAUGCUUCAGACUUGAGAAAGGGAGGUUCUCCCGAAAGCUUG
This 99-nucleotide microRNA precursor is filed under the name Pelobates cultripes (western spadefoot toad). Lineage: Eukaryota; Metazoa; Chordata; Amphibia; Anura; Pelobatidae. The record is from RNAcentral.